Molecule: long non-coding RNA, 660 nt
Organism: Salvia hispanica
Lineage: Eukaryota; Viridiplantae; Streptophyta; Magnoliopsida; Lamiales; Lamiaceae
Source: RefSeq, a predicted model, not a curated record
GUCCGGCUGAACUCCCUCACCGCCUCCGGCACGUCCGCCCCCACCGCCAGCGGCGCGAAUCCGUUCACCCACGCCUCGUAGUUCGCCUCCAUCGCCGAGAACACCUGCUCGAUCUCCCCCUGCUCGAAUCCCCCGUGGGGAGAAGCCGACGAGGACGAGCUUGUUGAAUAGCUGGGGGCGUUUGAUGGAGGCGAGGAUUCCGAUGGUGGCGGAGACGGAGUGGCCGACGUAGGUGCAACGGCCGAUGCGGAGGGCGUCGAGGAUGCAGAGGAGGUCGUCGACGUAGGCGUCGAGGGAGGUGUAGCGGCGGAAGUCGAAGUAAUCGGGGUUGACGGUGCCAGCGCAGACGAGAUCGAAGAGAACAAUCCGGUGAUCGUGGCGGAAGAAGGGGAGAAUGCGCUGCCACGCCGACUGAUCGGUGCCGAAGCCGUGGGCGAGGACGAGGAUCUUCUCGCCGGAGCCCACCACUCGCACGUUCAACGCCUCCAGUAGACUAUGCCCCAUCGCCAAAAAAAGAAAAUUAAAAAAAAAUGAUUUGAUAAUUUAGUUUUGGUAGUUGAAAAAAUAUUUGAAAAAGAUAUUGGUUUUUGUGGAGUGUGGAAGUGGGUAUUUAUAUUAGGUGAAAGCUAACUAAUAUCUAUGCAUCUCAUCUUCUCUUCA